UGACAUUGCAGGUACCUCAUCCAAACACAGU
RNAcentral lists this non-coding RNA (31 nucleotides) under Mus musculus (house mouse). The record is from RNAcentral. Lineage: Eukaryota; Metazoa; Chordata; Mammalia; Rodentia; Muridae.